UUAGAUGGCGCGGGGUGUCGUGAAAACGACUGAGAAAUACCCGUUGAACUUGAUCUGGGUCAUACCAGCGUAAGAACGCCUUUUAAUCUAACU
This 93-nucleotide non-coding RNA is filed under the name Legionella drancourtii. RNAcentral describes it as "TPP sequence". It matches the Rfam family "TPP riboswitch aptamer (THI element)". From Rfam's summary of the family: Vitamin B(1) in its active form thiamin pyrophosphate (TPP) is an essential coenzyme that is synthesised by coupling of pyrimidine and thiazole moieties in bacteria. The previously detected thiamin-regulatory element, thi box was extended, resulting in a new, highly conserved RNA secondary structure, the THI element, which is widely distributed in eubacteria and also occurs in some archaea. Lineage: Bacteria; Pseudomonadati; Pseudomonadota; Gammaproteobacteria; Legionellales; Legionellaceae. The record is from RNAcentral. RNAcentral also lists the same sequence under 1 other name.